CCUCUGUCUGGUCUCCCUCACUCUUCAGCACUGUCCUCUUAAUUACUUUGGAGUAGCCGUCCCCUUGGGCCACACUGACAGUGUCUUGUGGAGUUCCCUCAACCAUCACUUCCUCCCGUUCGACUCCAUCAGAUGACACACAGCGCUUGAUUAUCUUCCUGGUACCUUUUUCACCACCAUAUUCCCAUGUUCAUCCACAUAUUGCUCCUCAGAAGUGGUCUGCGGAGCAAAUUCUGGGAAUUCAUCUCCCUGUUUGAAGAGAGAAGGGAAACAUUAAGAGACAUUCUGACCACUUGCUAGUCAUUCACUGUCCACUGGGGGGCAGUGGUCAGGCAGAGGUCAGCUGUAAGAGAGGGGUUUGGUUUUAGUGUCAAGAACAGAACUCUGGAUUUGUCUUGAAAGCCAGAGACAAAUACACACAAAACACAUGACAUGCUAAUGGAAGAUGAUCAUGGGUAAAAAUUAAAGUAAUGACAAAAUCUGUUAAAAAGUUCAAGAACCCAAACACCAUUAAUAUUUUACAUCUUUGAUUAAAAUGUUGCUCUGAUCUGUACUGAAGGCUCACAUGUCCGCCCUAGACUUCACACUUCACACAGAAUCCCCACUGGCAGGGCAUCACACAUGCAGAGCAGGCCAGCAGAAGCUCCUCCUCGCUAUACCUGGAUGAUAACUCUCCUUCGAACCACUCUGGUGAUAAGAACAUCCUCUUCAGAACUAUCCGACUGCGCACCUAGCUCUUUUGCAAUUUCCUAGCCAGGCAGGGAAAAUGAAUAUCGUUUCAUAACAAAGCCUUUACUCUUCAGAAGAGCACAGAUGAAGUUCACAGACAUAGUAUUUGUUAGAUCAUUAGUUUCUUCCAUGCACUACCAUGUUUUUUUUUUUCAAGAAACCAGUUUGGGGUUACCGGUUUGGGGUUACCAGUUUUAGGGUUACCAGAUUUAGGGUUAGGGUUAGAAACCAGUUAGAAACCAGGGACUUAGAAGCAUGUCUGAGUUUGUGUGCAAGUCAUCUCUACAAAAUGAAGAAACUUGACUGAAUGCUUGUUAAUUUAACUUGUUAAACCGAAACGGACUUCUAAAAAAAUAAACCACACCAGUUAGUUUAUUAAACAGGUUAAAUCCAAAUUUCCAAGUUAAAUAUAUUUAGUGCCAAAAGUGCCAAAGGGCUGAGACAAUGUGGUAAAAGUGCAGGAUAGGCAGCUCCAGGC
This is a long non-coding RNA of Clupea harengus (Atlantic herring), 1207 nucleotides long. NCBI's taxonomy places the organism in Eukaryota, Metazoa, Chordata, Actinopteri, Clupeiformes, Clupeidae. The record is from Ensembl.